Daphnia pulicaria is the source of this 579-nucleotide long non-coding RNA. RefSeq lists it as uncharacterized. NCBI's taxonomy places the organism in Eukaryota, Metazoa, Arthropoda, Branchiopoda, Diplostraca, Daphniidae. The record is from RefSeq and is a predicted model, not a curated record. The transcript has 2 exons.
UUUUGCCGGUUUUCUUAAGUUUGUUUUUGUUUUUAAUAUUUAUUGAAAAUUGAAUGCAAUUUGAGCAAUAAUUCAGUAACUAAGUUUUGUUUCAUUAUCUUGAUUUUGAUGUCCUUGUUUGAUCGAAGUCAACAAAGUCCGAACGUCUUCCGGCCUGAUCAAAGAUGAGUCAGGAGUCAGCUGAUGACGAAACAGACGUCAUCGCUUCCAGGUUUGUUCAAUGGUGUUUAAGUUAGGUGUUGCCGCAUAAGUGCAGAACAGUUUCCAGCCUAUUUGCUGGUGGAAAAUGUUCUUGGAUUAAAUCAAAUUUGUUCUGUCUGUCUUGUCUUAUGGAAACCGCUGCCGCCGUUAUCAACACAUCUGUCACGAAAAAGGCAACGCUAUAACACUCGAGUGCUCGCACAAUGGAUCGCUAAAACUCCUCUGCUUGUGUGAUGAGUCUGAUACUCUGAUCUGAAUGUUACAUCCAUGGCAUUCUUUUUCAGCCUAUUGUCUUUCACGUUUCGUUGCAAUGUUAUGUGAUUUUUAAGCUUUUUGUAAUAUUUUGAUUUCAGAAAUAAAUACCGUAAAUCUUCUCUU